This 283-nucleotide non-coding RNA is filed under the name Marinomonas mediterranea. The record is from RNAcentral. RNAcentral also lists the same sequence under 1 other name. Lineage: Bacteria; Pseudomonadati; Pseudomonadota; Gammaproteobacteria; Oceanospirillales; Oceanospirillaceae.
UUCAUUCUAAAUCGAUGAGGUGUUCUGAGAAGACUAAAAGUCUGUUCUUCGCAGAAUGAAAAGGGAAGAACGUGAGCUCAAUGCAAUGAGUGAUCCGUUCACUGCCCCCGCAACGGUAAGUACCAUAUGGAAGUUAGCAAGAAGGCGACCACUGAGCCAAUCACAGACGUUGAUUUGUUUGGGAAGGUGGCCGACUUAAGGUGUUAUUUAUUUCGCCUUAGUAGGCAAUUCGAUUGUCAAUGCUGUACUGAGUCCGGAGACCUGCCUUAUCACUCAUUCAUUA